Long non-coding RNA from Hypanus sabinus (Atlantic stingray), 3810 nucleotides. RefSeq lists it as uncharacterized. Lineage: Eukaryota; Metazoa; Chordata; Chondrichthyes; Myliobatiformes; Dasyatidae. The transcript is spliced from 2 exons. The record is from RefSeq and is a predicted model, not a curated record.
UCCUACCUCUCUUCCACACUGCACCAUCAUCACCAUUUCACGCCGUUAUUUCCAAAGGCCCCGCUCGUUUGUUUAAAUCUCGCGAUAUCUCAAUCCCGCCGAAAGGCUCCUCUCGCGCCCGGUCGCCUCCUCAGUAACGGCUCCCCGGCUGGCCCGGGUUCCCGUCUCCGUCCAUCGGCCUCUCCUCGGGACACCAGAGUCACUCGGAAUCGGAGGACACUUUGAACGAGUCUGGAACGAAGCUGUGCCCAUGAACUUGGUCCAAUCCUGGAGUCUGACCCUUCACUUCUCGUUCCAUGUCAGACGUAAAACAACACCCCUCUUCCUUCUGUUGAACCAAUCUCCUUUGACCUGGACCCAUGGGACCCUCUGGACAUUGUGGCCUUGGGCUGGCACUCCCUCAGCAGUUUCCUUGACGCCUCCACUCCUCUGCUAAAGAAGAAGUUGGCGCAGCACUCGAGAUCAGACCAACUGGCUGUCUGGGACUGGGGUGGAAGAAGUCUGUGCUGUCAGCUGACAUUCAGAACCUUUCAGGGGUGGUGGAGGGGAAUGGCUGAGUGGCCAACAUAUUUAAUUACAUCCCUGCUUGAGUCUUCUGCUCCAAAAGGACUGGGUUUUGCCUCCCCCCUCCCCCCGCCCCAUCAUUUCUGGCGCUCUCUUCCACUGGAGGGGAGGUGCCGAGGACGAGCAAUGUCCUGGGUCUGGAUGGGGAUUAGCAGGCAUCUGCAGCAGCAGUUUGCCAGACGACAGGAGGGUGAUGUUGGCACUGCAGACGUGAUGUUUGACUCUGAAAAUCCAGGUGAUUUAUUCCCCUGAUGCUUCACCUCUGGGCGGUGACCAAUCUGUCACAAAUGCAGCAGGACAGGGAACCUUGUGGAAAGUGAUUGCAAAGCAGACCUCUCCAAUGACCAGUUGCCAUGACCGUGCAGGGCUGGUGUAAGCCUGAUAGCUGACUGCAGAGAUUGCAAGAUGCUGAUUUGAUGUGGAAGUGAGUCCAUUGGCCAUCGUGCUGAGGGCGAGGACGAGGGUGGCAGUGUUUGGAAACUGGGACUGCAUCAGCACCAAUGUUGUCCUUACCAACUGCACCUGACUGCAUUAAGGUUCAGGGUACAUUUAUUGUCAAAGUAUGUAUGCAGUAUACAACUCAGAUUCAUCAUUAACACCACUAUUCUCCUGCAUCAGGACGUGGACGAAACAACCGGCCAACGACAGGCCAAAGGUAGUGGUGAGCACAGUCACAGAAUGAUGCCAUGCCAGGGACACUCUCACAUUCAGGCAAGGGGAGACAGAGAUUGACAGUGUUUCAUAGGUGCAUGGUGGCUCAAUGGGAGAGGGGUUAGAAAGUCCAAAGAAAAAUAAAUCUUCCAGAAUUCCCAUAUUGGCAGGAGGCUGUGGUGUAGAUCUAACCCAUGGGAUAUGGAGAUGGGAACUGUGCAUGGUGUUUCCAGUGUGGGUCUCAACUGGCCCUUUCCAGAUUUAACCCACUUUCAACAAUCCCACUGCCUAAUCCUCAGUACAUCUGGUUGAUAUUCCAGAUUGAUGAGUUUUUCCAUUUUCGCUGAAUGCCUAUGGAGGUUCAGAGAUUUCUGCCGAGUGGUGCCCCAAAGGGAAUGGUUUGCACAAUCGGAGCAGAAUCUUGCCUUGUGGAUUCUGUUGAAGACAGGCGAGGGCUGACAGCAAUUGGCAUGGCAUCAUGAUUCACUGUUUGCUGGUAUUCUAGAGUGUGUCUUAGGUCAGAAUGUUUAGAACAAGUUAUUCAAUUUCCCACACAUGCACUGUGCUCACAGUGUUCCUGAAGUACUGACUGGGGAUUAUGGAGGUGGGAACUGUGCAGGCGGACCCAGUCAGGCUGACCCAGAGGAUAUGGAAAUUGGAAGCACAGACAGUUCUGCCUGUGUGAGUCUGAAACAGCUCUUUCCAGACUUAAGCCAUGUUUGACAGUCCCACUGCCAAACCCUCAGUACCUGUAACUGAUGUUCCAGGGGCAUCCAGCAGGGAAGAAGGGCUUGUCUUGCUUCCUGUGAUAUAUGAUUCCUUGCCCGACUGUAUGUCUUGUGCAGAUGGGCAGCCACUCUUGCAACAGGACUGAGAACCCUGUGGAAAGACAUUACAGAGCUCCUUAAAUUUUGCACUCUGCUCCUUUCCAGAUUUAAUCCAUGUCUGGCAGUCCCACUGUUUAAGAUCCAAUCAAAGUUUUCAAUCAGGAGACAAAGGCUGUCUGGGUUCCCACUGUAUGAGAUUCCUUGUCUUGCUGCUCAUCCAUCAGAGUUGUAGAUGGACUGUCACAGCUGCAACAUGACAUGGAACGCAGUGGAAAGAGAUUGUGAAUUUCCUGAAACUCUACUUUGUGCUGGGCUGUUGUCCUGGUGUGGUGUGACCCAAGGAAAUGAGGUCCAGAACCGUGACUGAUGUGGUCAGAAACAGAGAUUUGCCAUCAGUUGGACAGCUGGCAUUGUCCCAAGUCUCACAGCAGAAGUUAAAACAAAUAAUAUACAAAGGCAGUAUCAAGAGCAAUAAAGGCAGAUUGGUUUUAAGAAGUUGCUGCCCAUUGAUUGAAGGAGGCUGACCUCGAGAGUGCAUGAUGGCUUUGAUCACAUGUACCUAAUACACAAACAAAACACCACAGUCUUAUCGGAGAGGACUGCAUGUCCGAUGUCCAGUUCCAGAGGGGGAGCGGGGCAGUGUGUUCGGUGUCUGCUCCCAGAGGGGGGAGAGGAUGAUGUGGCUGACAGCCAGUGUCGGGAGAGAGAGAGGAGGAUGCACCGACAUUGCCAUCAUUUACCGUUUACUUCUGCCCCUCAGCCCCUCACUGCAGGCCUAGCUGAAGAAUUAUACUGCAACACCCAUGUGUAUUCAUCCACCUCCCAGGGGAAUUUGCUGUAAACUCGCCUCACCCUCCCAGCCCUCUGACAUUCCCCUGUAAAACCCCACCCACUCCUCUCACUGGUUCUCUCAUCUUCCCUCUAUUAUCUGGCAGGCAGUUGCCAGUGUAACAAGAGAUGUGUUUGGUUCCUGUUGGAUACAGUAAUUUCUGAAGUAGGCUGCUCUUUGGCAAUGACUUAAAGGUGCAGACAGAGAGAGGCUGUGCUAUGAUCCUGUCUCUCUGGGCUCACUCCAGAAAAGUCAGUCUUGCACUUCACCUCAUUGCCUGAUGCCAGGGUAUGGCAGUUGUGUGACUCACAGGGGUAGAUGUCUUGGUGCGGGAGAGGAGGCUUGUUAGGGACAGGGAAGGAAGUGAAUGAGGGGACCCAACACCUCUCAACAUCCCCUCUUAAAAUAUGAGUUGGACCUUCCUUUUGCUGCCUGACAGCAGCCUGCAUUCCUCCUUAUCUUCUCCAGCCCUCCCGGUACAGGACAAGGCAUGUCAUUCUCUCUUCUCCCCACCUCUCUUCAAGUAGAAAAUAAAAAAUCCUGAUAACACACAUACUAGGCUCAAGACAGCUACUACAUUAUUAUAACACUUAUGGUAAGAUGGAGGAUGUCACAAUUGUUGUGGCCCUUGCACCUUAUUGCAUGUUGAAAUAAUCAGUAUGGCUGGUAUGCAAAUCAUUGAGUUUCACUACAGUCUGUGGUUUAUGCUCUCUGGCUUAAGCUCUGCAGUCUGUGCAUUACAUGUAACAAUAGUAAACCAUUUUAUGUGGAAAUUGUGCAAGUAGAAGGCAGUUAAUAAGUUCAUCACAACAUCGUGGGCUGAGUAGCCUGUUCCUGCACUGAAGAGUGUUCUGUAAUUUGUUAUAUUUACUUGUGAAUGCUGCAUUUCUGAUGCUAUGUGCCUGUGAUGCUGAUGCAAGUAAUAAAUGGAUUCAACAA